AUUGAACGCUGGCGGCAGGCCUAACACAUGCAAGUCGAACGAGUGGCGGACGGGUGAGUAAUGUCUGGGAAACUGCCUGAUGGAGGGGGAUAACUAAUGGAAACGGUAGCUAAUCCCGAAUACCAUAGGCUGGGCCCAGAUGGGAUUAGCUAGUAGGUGGGGUAACGGCUCACCUAGGCGACGAUCCCUAGCUGGUCUGAGAGGAUGACCAGCCACACUGGAACUGAGACACGGUCCAGACUCCUACGGUAGGCAGCAGUGGGGAAUAUUGCACAAUGGGCGCAAGCCUUAUGCAGCCAUGCCGCGUGUAUGAAGAAGGCCUUCGGGUUGUAAAGUACUUUCAGCGGGGAGGCGUUACCCGCAGAAGAAGCACCGGCUAACUCCGUGCCAGCCGCCGCGGUAAUAC
This 406-nucleotide ribosomal RNA is filed under the name uncultured bacterium. RNAcentral describes it as "partial 16S ribosomal RNA". It matches the Rfam family "Bacterial small subunit ribosomal RNA", at positions 30 to 526 of the family's 1533-position model. The record is from RNAcentral.